CUCUCUCUUGCUCAGGUCAGUGUGUGUGUGUGUGUGUGUGUGUGUGUCACCUGUACUCUCUCUUGCUCAGGUCAGUGUGUGUGUGUGUGUGUGUGUGUGUGUCACCUGUACUCUCUCUUGCUCAGGUCAGUGUGUGUGUGUGUGUGUGUGUGUGUGUGUCACCUGUACUCUCUCUUGCUCAGGUCAGUGUGUGUGUGUGUGUGUGUGUGUCACCUGUACUCUCUCUUGCUCAGGUCAGUGUGUGUGUGUGUGUGUGUGUGUGUCACCUGUACUCUCUCUUGCUCAGGUCAGUGUGUGUGUGUGUGUGUGUGUCACCUGUACUCUCUCUUGCUCAGGUCAGUGUGUGUGUGUGUGUGUGUGUGUGUCACCUGUACUCUCUCUUGCUCAGGUCAGUGUGUGUGUGUGUGUGUGUGUGUCACCUGUACUCUCUCUUGCUCAGGUCAGUGUGUGUGUGUGUGUGUGUGUGUGUGUCACCUGUACUCUCUCUUGCUCAGGUCAGUGUGUGUGUGUGUGUGUGUGUGUGUGUGUGUGUGUGUGUCACCUGUACUCUCUCUUGCUCAGGUCAGUGUGUGUGUGUGUGUGUGUGUCACCUGUACUCUCUCUUGCUCAGGUCAGUGUGUGUGUGUGUGUGUGUGUGUCACCUGUACUCUCUCUUGCUCAGGUCAGUGUGUGUGUGUGUGUGUGUGUGUCACCUGUACUCUCUCUUGCUCAGGUCAGUGUAGCGGACCGUGUCGUCCAUGCUGCAGGUCACCAGGCGGCUGGACUCGUCCACAGUCAUCCUGGACACCAGGUUCGAGUGUCCUUUCCCCACAAACUCCUCGUUCUCUCCGCUCUCAGCGUCCCAGAUAUUAAUGUGUCCAUCGUGGCUGCCUGAGUAGAUGGUGGACCGGCCGUCUGUCUUAUGGACCGUCACACACUGGAUGGAUUUGGAGUGACCCUGAGUAAUGACACGGUAAUGACACGGUAAUGACACGGUAAUGAC
This is a long non-coding RNA of Carassius gibelio (silver crucian carp), 982 nucleotides long. RefSeq lists it as uncharacterized. The record is from RefSeq and is a predicted model, not a curated record. The transcript has 9 exons. NCBI's taxonomy places the organism in Eukaryota, Metazoa, Chordata, Actinopteri, Cypriniformes, Cyprinidae.